Molecule: ribosomal RNA, 423 nt
Filed under: uncultured bacterium
Lineage: Bacteria
Description: bacterial SSU rRNA
Rfam family: Bacterial small subunit ribosomal RNA
Source: RNAcentral
AAGACCUUGCGCUUUUGGAGCGGCCGAUGUCUGAUUAGCUAGUUGGUGGGGUAAUGGCCUACCAAAGCUUCGAUCAGUAGCUGGUCUGAGAGGACGACCAGCCACACUGGGACUGAGACACGGCCCAGACUCCUACGGGAGGCAGCAGUGGGGAAUUUUGGACAAUGGGCGCAAGCCUGAUCCAGCCAUGCCGCGUGAGUGAAGAAGGCCUUCGGGUUGUAAAGCUCUUUCAGCCGGGAAGAAAAGGCUACGACGAAUAAUCGUAGCUCAUGACGGUACCGGAAGAAGAAGCACCGGCUAACUACGUGCCAGCAGCCGCGGUAAUACGUAGGGUGCGAGCGUUAAUCGGAAUUACUGGGCAUAAAGGGUGCGCAGGCGGUUUUGUAAGUCAGAUGUGAAAUCCCCGGGCUUAACCUGGGAACU